Molecule: ribosomal RNA, 491 nt
Filed under: uncultured bacterium
Lineage: Bacteria
Description: partial 16S ribosomal RNA
Rfam family: Bacterial small subunit ribosomal RNA
Source: RNAcentral
AGUGAACGCUGGCGGUAGGCCUAACACAUGCAAGUCGAACGGCAGCACAGUAAGAGCUUGCUCUUACGGGUGGCGAGUGGCGGACGGGUGAGGAAUACAUCGGAAUCUACUUUUUCGUGGGGGAUAACGUAGGGAAACUUACGCUAAUACCGCAUACGACCUACGGGUGAAAGCAGGGGAUCUUCGGACCUUGCGCGAUUGAAUGAGCCGAUGUCGGAUUAGCUAGUUGGCGGGGUAAAGGCCCACCAAGGCGACGAUCCGUAGCUGGUCUGAGAGGAUGAUCAGCCACACUGGAACUGAGACACGGUCCAGACUCCUACGGGAGGCAGCAGUGGGGAAUAUUGGACAAUGGGCGCAAGCCUGAUCCAGCCAUACCGCGUGGGUGAAGAAGGCCUUCGGGUUGUAAAGCCCUUUUGUUGGGAAAGAAAAGCAGCAGGUUAAUACCCCGCUGUUCUGACGGGACCCAAAGAAUAAACACCGGCGAACUUCGU